UUUAAAAACUACUUAAAAUAUUUAAAAGGAGAAGCUCACAAACAUAAACUAUAAGUGAAUCACAGUUGUAGGCAACAUGUCUGACAUUGAAAUAGGAAAUGUGCAAUUGAACAGAACCUGAAAGAUUCCAGAGCUGAGAGAUGGAUUUAAAGUUUGGCACUGGUUUGAAGGUCAAAAGCUCCCACAGAAAACAAUACAAGAUCUUAUGGAGCACGCACCUGCUUUCACUGAGGUCUAACCUACAUGGACCCAUUUUGCUACCCCUUCUCUUCUGAUCACCUGGGGGAUGGGUCUGCAUCCCCACACUGACAUGGCCUGUCACUGCAGUCGAAAGAAGCUCCCUGGCUCUCUAGCCCUUAAAGUGGCACACGCCUCUCCCAAGAAGUCAGACAACAACAGCUCCCACCACAUAACGUGCAUUGAGGUCAUUACCAGAUGCCCAGAGAGACCUUCGGGAGAAUUAACUGUAAUCUUGUAGCAAGGAAAUAUAAAUGUAUUACAGGCAUGCUGUCAAAAUGUAAACAUUGCUCCACUCUGAACGCACAUCUGUGGAUUGAUUUAGGGUUUUUUUAAUAUUGUAAUUUAUUUAAUGUCUUGUCGAGUUCAAGAGUCUGUGCCAAUGUCACUUGUUUUAAAGAUUAAUUUUC
This is a long non-coding RNA of Mauremys reevesii (Reeves's turtle), 647 nucleotides long. RefSeq lists it as uncharacterized. NCBI's taxonomy places the organism in Eukaryota, Metazoa, Chordata, Testudines, Geoemydidae. The record is from RefSeq and is a predicted model, not a curated record. The transcript has 3 exons.